Molecule: non-coding RNA, 149 nt
Filed under: Brevibacillus sp.
Lineage: Bacteria; Bacillati; Bacillota; Bacilli; Caryophanales; Paenibacillaceae
Source: RNAcentral
AUUGAAUACGCGCAAACAGGUGCCUUGGUCCUUGCCAAAGGACGAGGUGAAAAGGGAAGCCGGUGCAAGUCCGGCGCGGUCCCGCCACUGUAAAGCGGCUGUUGCAAUAGCUGCCAAGCCAGGAGACCUGCCUGUUUGCCUGAUGUGCC